AUGGUAUCUUCUGAAUCGACUUUUAGUACAGGACGUCGAGUCCUUGAUUCGUUUUGUAGUUCUUUAAAUCCCUCUACCGUUGAAGCUUUGAUUUGUACUCAAAAUUGUAUCAAAUCUCCUAAGGUUAUUGAUUUAAAAAAUGAGUUGGUUGAAUUGGAAAAGAUUGAGUCAGUUGCAGAAGAAGAUGGUGAAAAUGAUGGCGAUGUACUAUACCUGUGUUGGGAAAAUGAAGUGUUGGUCUGA
This is a non-coding RNA of Vicia faba (fava bean), 243 nucleotides long. Lineage: Eukaryota; Viridiplantae; Streptophyta; Magnoliopsida; Fabales; Fabaceae. The record is from the annotation of a GenBank genome assembly.